Molecule: ribosomal RNA, 497 nt
Filed under: uncultured bacterium
Lineage: Bacteria
Description: partial 16S ribosomal RNA
Rfam family: Bacterial small subunit ribosomal RNA
Source: RNAcentral
GAUGAACGCUGGCGGCGUGCCUAAUACAUGCGAGUCGAACGAACAGAUGCGGAUCUUUCGCCUGUGACGUUAGCGGCGGACGGGUGAGUAGCACGUGGAUAACCUACCUAUAAGACUUGGAUAACGUCGAGAAACCGGAGUUAAUACCGUUUAAUAUAUUGAACCUCAGGGUUGAAUGGUGGAAUACUGUUUUUCUGUCACGUAUUGAUGGAUUAUCGCCUCAUUGGCUAGUUGGUAACGUAACGGCUUACCAAGGCAACGAGGCGUAGCCGGCAUGAGCGGUGGGUCGGCGACCCUGGAAAUGAGAAAUGGUACACAGUCCUGAGGGAGGCAGCAGUCGGGAAUGUUGCGCAAUGGGCGAAAGCCUGACGGAGCAAGGCGGGGUGAGUCAUGAAGGUCUUAGGAUCGUAGAACUCUGUUAUUAGGGAAGAACAAAUGUGUAGGUAACUAUGCACGUCUUGACGGUACCUAAUAAGAAAGCGACGGCUGACUACGUG